This 440-nucleotide ribosomal RNA is filed under the name uncultured bacterium. RNAcentral's name for it is "partial 16S ribosomal RNA". It matches the Rfam family "Bacterial small subunit ribosomal RNA", at positions 338 to 795 of the family's 1533-position model. The record is from RNAcentral.
CCUACGGGUGGCAGCAGUGGGGAAUAUUGCACAAUGGGGGAAACCCUGAUGCAGCGACGCCGCGUGAGUGAGGAAGUAUUUCGGUAUGUAAAGCUCUAUCAGCAGGGGAGAAAAUGACGGUACCUGACUAAGAAGCCCCGGCUAACUACGUGCCAGCAGCCGCGGGAAUACGGAGGGGGCAAGCGUUAUCCGGAUUUACUGGGUGUAAAGGGAGCGUAGACGGAUAAGCAAGUCUGAUGUGAACAUCCGGGGCCCAACCCCGGAAUUGCAUUUGAAACUGCAUAGCUAGAGUGUCGGAGAGGCAAGUGGAAUUCCUGGUGUAGCGGUGAAAUGCGUAGAUAUCAGGAGGAACACCAGUGGCGAAGGCGGCUUGCUGGACGAUGACUGACGUUGAGGCUCGAAAGCGUGGGGAGCGAACAGGAUUAGAUACCCUUGUAGUC